This is a non-coding RNA of Yersinia mollaretii ATCC 43969, 38 nucleotides long. The record is from Rfam. NCBI's taxonomy places the organism in Bacteria, Pseudomonadati, Pseudomonadota, Gammaproteobacteria, Enterobacterales, Yersiniaceae.
CAGUGCAUUGGUUACUGCAAGCCAAGGGCGGUAGCAUU